RNAcentral lists this long non-coding RNA (6301 nucleotides) under Sus scrofa (pig). RNAcentral's name for it is "lncRNA (ENSSSCG00000058887.1)". Lineage: Eukaryota; Metazoa; Chordata; Mammalia; Artiodactyla; Suidae. The record is from RNAcentral.
UCCUGUGUUCUGAUUUCUGGUACUCUGUGCUCUGCCAAAGGGUUGAUUCACUCUUGCCCACAUGUUCCUCAGGCCUAGCGCAUCAGUAGACCGUUGAUAAAUGUUUGUUGACAGUAAUUGCUACUAAUCAUGCAACGCAAUUGAGUUUCAAAAUGCACUGGCCCUCCUGCUAAAGCUGUCUUCAGAAUCUGUGUGGUAAGAUCACCUUUUAAUGAGGUCAGGGUGUUUUCUCUUCAGGGGCUAAAGUUUUUUCAGGGGUCCAAUACAGAGCUGCCAGAUGUUGGCAUUCGUUCCAAAUAAAACAGGGCUUGGAGGGGGGCUCAGAAGGGAGAACCUUGCGGUGAGCACUUGGGUGAUAAAAGGCUUGCCCUUGGCCUAGGCCUGGCCUCCCGUCCUCUUAAUGGAUUGAUCCUCAUGGGCGCCCUGGGAUCUGAGGCCUCAAGCCCUCCUCCUCUUCCUUAAGGUGCCACUUCAGCCCAGUGAGUGUCUUUUUUCUUAGCUUAGGGCCCACAUGCUGUGAAGGAAGCCACUGCUGGGGGUGGUCGGGGGGUGGGGGGUGGUUCUCUCUAUGAAAAUCCUGCUGUUUGCAUCUCCUCUUCCUUGGGGGCCCACUUCCUGGUUCUGUGGAGGGUUUGCUUUCUGACGUCUGUCUCUGUCUCCGUAGCUCUCAGCGCUCUCUGCUCUGUCACCAUCUGACACCCUCUUGUCACCACUCCCCCAGAAAGGAGGGCAGUCAAGCUUAGGCUCUUAUUGCCCCACCUCAAGGAGAAACUGUUUCUGGCAGCCCCAGUGGUAACUUUUGUGUAUAAUUUCUCACAAAAACUGCGUUGCAAAGACCCGCAAGGCUUUGGGGCACUCUCGCAGCCCGCAUGGCUCUCCGGUCCCAGUUCUCUGUGGAAAGCAUUCUGGCUGCACGUCACCGCUGACUAACAUAUUUUUGAAACCUAAAGGGCUCAGGAAUGGAGGAUUUUUUUGUGUACCUGGAACACCAGGUUGAAAGGAAGACCAGACAGUAAAAUGGGAGUCGGCGGAAUAUUCCUGUUCCUGUGGGCUUGAGUGACCCUAUUGCUGAAUUCUAAAGCCUCUCUGGUGUAAGUAAAGCGGUACAUCAAAACCUGACUAUGCCUCAGAACCAUGUGGGAAGCUUACUAAAAAUUUAGAAUCUUGGAUCUCACCCUAGGACACUCUGAUUCAGAGGGACUGGUGUGCAGACCAGGACGUUUGUAUAUUUGAUAAGUUCCUUGGGUGGUUCUGAGUCAGUCACUGCUUCAAAGAUGUACAUGAGGAGAGCAGUUUGCAUGAAGAGAAUGGUGCAUGUCUAUCGCAUGAUGUGGUGGAUGAGCAUGGGCUCCAGGUCAGAGGAUUGAGGCUGGUGCCAUUGAUAUUUACAGAACGUACUUGGAGAAUCAGUGGGAAAACAGGAGACCUUAGAGAGGCUAAACACUUAGAGGCAUAAGACCACUCCCCAAAGGACAGAAUAGAUCCAAAAGGGGUGAACUAGAAUGGGGAAGAGGCAGGAGUUUUGUUAGAGUGUUUGGAGAAGAUGGAGAUGGGAAUCUUCGUGGUGCUGUGGGAGGUUUUAGGAGGAAAGAUGGGUAAAAAGGAGAUGCUGCUGUUAUGUUUUGCCAUGUAAUUCUCCCUUUUGCCCUAUCUUCCAAGACUUCAUUAAAGACCUACUAAGUUUUCAAGUUGUUGAGUUUGGGUUAGGGUUUAUUUUGGAUGGGACACCAUGCAGAGACUGGCCUCUAGGCAGGAGAGUUUUAUUCAGGUUCUGGAUGUAAAACUACUGCCCUUGCAGGAUUAUUAUGAGGAGCUGAGAUACCCUAUUUAAAAUCUCUGUCAGAUAGUAGAUGCUCUAUGGAUGGAUUUAGAGAUUCUCAUACGAAGUGAAGGAAGACAGACAGAGACAAAUACCAUAUGAUAAUUCUUAUAUGUGGAAUCUUAAAAAAAAUACAAAUGAACUUAUAUGCAAAACAGAAAUAGACCCACAGACAUAGAAACCAAACUUAAUGGUUACCAAAGGGGAAGGGGGUGUUAGGAAGGGAUAAAUUAGGAGUCUGGGACUAACACAUACACACUGUUAUCUAUGAAAUAGCUAAACAAGGACCUACUAUAUAGCACAGGGAACUAUAUUCAAUAUUUUGUAAUGACCUAUAAAGGGAAAGAAUAUGAAAAAUAAUAUAUAUAUAUAAAACACACACAUAUAUAUACACACACAUACAUACAACUGAAUCAUUUUGCUAUACAUUUGAAAGUAACACAACGUUGUAAAUCAACUAUACUAUAGUAAAAAAGGGAAGAAAGGUAAAAGGCUUUAAAAAAUGGCUAUUGGAUUACCAGUAAUUACUGAGAACCAACUAUGUUCCAUAUGGUGUGUUAGGAGAAGCUGGGGAAUGAGGAGCUCACAGUUUUAAGUCAGUUAACUUUUACUUUAGGUAUGUGCUCCAGAAAAGUCUUCUAUAUGAUCCAGACAUUAUCAGGACCUGACUGCAUAAGCUUUGAAAAAAUCUAUGCAAAUACUUAAGAAUCUGGCCAGAUUCAAGAGGGACUGAGCUGAAAAGGGCCUUAGAAAGUAUUUAUUUUCCUCAUUAUCUACAUUUUCCUGAUGAGGCACUGAAGUCUGCAGAGAGGAAGGACUUAGGGCUAUGAUGAAUUGUUACAAUUUUAUCAAGUAUUUAAAGAUAUUGUCACUAUUUAUAGGGUGUCUUUAGAAAUAAUUAGCACAUAACCCUUCUUAAUAGAUAGAUGGAUAGAACAUGAAGCAUAAAAUGUCAGUGCUGAAAUUUUCCUAAAGAUCACCUUGUUCAGAUAGCUGAUUUGACUAAUGAAGAAACUGGGGAUCUAUUUCUUUCUGCUUACUGCUGAGUCAUAGCCUGCAGGUGAAUGCAUCUAAGAAAGAUUUGGGUUCAGGGAUUGGUAAAUGAUAGCACAGCAGUCUUGAGCCUUUUUAAAUUAAAAAAAUUUUUUUUCCAGAACAGUGUUGAUAAGUUGCUGCUCAGAUACAUUUCCUUUCCUCCCUUGACUGACUGGUCUUAUCUGACCAAGUAGCUACAAGUCAACUGGAAUGACGAAAGGCAAAAAAAUGUAUAGACAUAACAUAGGUUCUAUACAUACUCAAAGGAUAUAUGUAGAAGUUAGGAUGCAUUCGGAGGCAAAGUGACACAAUGCCUUACGAUAGCUUAAGCCACAAAGGUCGAAAACUAUCCUUAUAGCAAGAAUCUGGAGAUGGGGGAGUCCAGGUUUGAUGUGUAGACUCCUUCUGUCAUUAGACACCCAGGUGUUUAAAAAUCUCUCUGUUCUGCCAUCCUCAGCAUGUUGGCUUUUUUUGUCCGUAGGCUGACAAGCCUAGAAUAAUUGUCUCAACUCCUAGCAUCAUGCUUUCCACACAUUCACAAAAGGAAAAAAGUCGAGGACUCUUUCAGUAUAUCUAUUCAUCAUGGAGUGAAAACCUUCCCCAAACACCUCUAGCAGAGUUCGCCACGUCUCAUCACCAGAUCUGUGUCACAUGUCCACCAAUCCCUAGCAAAGAGAAAAGAAAUUGUUUUGCGGGGCUAAAACCAAUCCUAGGUUUGAAAGAGGAUCCCUCUGUCUUUGAGAUGUUGCUUCUCUGACAAUGUGAAAUUCUAUAAACUAAAGGCAGGGCUAAAUAUAGCUAUUUGGAGGGGGAAAGAAGGUGUGUGCUUUAUUAUAGGUGAGACUCAUAAAUCCUGAAAAACUUUUUUUAAUGUAAUGCAUUGUAAGACUGCUUUCUACAUAGAUUAGUAGUUAUGCUCUUGAGAUUUAGAGUCAGAAGUCCUAAUUUUGAAUCUUGGCACUAGCAGUUUUUUCCUCUGUAAAUUAGGAAUAGUAAUAGUACCUACUUCAUUCAUAGUGUGUGUGUGUGGGGGGGUGUUAUCAUUAUCAUUAUUAUUACUAUUUUGCAAAUAGUGAGUUGGCAAUAUUGUAUAGUUAUGAAGUACUUGAAGCAGUGUGAAGCACCUAGUAAUCAUUAAAUAAACCUUAGCUGUUUUAAUUUUGGAAUCAUUGGUUCUAUAAAUUAAAAUUCUGUUUGUCUUCACUCAAGUCAAAAUUGUAUAUGACCCUUCUCUAUUCCCUAAGCCUGUGACUUUACUUUUUUAAAUGUAAAACAUAGGGCCUGGUAUAGAUGCAUCCUAUCCUUGGGAAUUGGUUGACGAGUGGGGGAGGUCUCCUCCUUUUUUAGUUCAGGAAACAUAGGCAUAAUUUUGCUGGUACAUCUUUCUGAUUUUCAGACUGCUCUAGAGUGAAGCCUAUUGAAAACGCUUAUUCAGGCCCAGAAUCCAUUUAUUUGAUCUCAAAUUGGAUGUUUGCCUUUCAGGUCCAAACCAAAACAACAAUGCAAUUUACCUUAUCUCCAUUACAUCGCUGGCUCCCAGAGCAGGGACUUGGCAGCACCUCAGCUCCCAGGAUGCCAGGGCACAGAGCCUGCUGAGCUUUCUUUCCCAGGUCCAGGAAAUUGAGCUGAUUUGGAACGCUUGGAAAUUUUCAGACAACUAACAAAUCGUUGCCUCCAUUCAGUUUAGGAGAUUGACAGGAGGGCAUAUUUGCUCAGAAUCCAAUCACCAGUGUUAUACGAGUAUCUGAGAGGAAGUGGAGCUGGUGGUCAGAGGAAGGGCCAUCAUUGCUCUUAUUUUAUUUUAUUUUACUAUUUUAUUUGACUUUAUUUUAUUUAAUUUUACUUUACUUUUAUUUUAUUUAUUUAUUUAUUUUUGUCUUUUUAGGGUGGCACCUACAACAAACAGAGAUUCCCAGGCUAGGGGUUGAAUCCGAGCUAUAGCUGCUGGCCUACGCCACUGCCACAGCAAUGCCAGAUCUGAGCUGCAUCGGCAACCUACACCACCAUGGCAAUAUCAGAUUGCCAAACCACUGAGCAAGGCCAGGGAUGGACCUGCAUCCUCAUGGAUACCAGUUGGAUUUGUUUCCCCUGCGCCACAAGAGGAACUCCACUCUCAUUCUUUACAAGAUGGGAGGUGGGCAGAUAGUUCAAGGUCCUUUUGCCCCUGGUGCACUUGACAAGAUUUGGCAUGAUUGCUUGUCUGGAUUUUGCUGUUAUCCUUCUGUUUAUUCCUGAGAGCUCUUUAAACAACAAGAUGUCCCCUGUGAGGGGUUUGGUGCUGGGAAUUGAGGGUCUGAAGAUAAAUGCUUCCCAUAGUGUGGGCCUUAGAUGACAAUGGGCAAGCCUCUGGCUUCCCACUGACAGGAAAAGGAACAUUUGCCUCUUUUCACAGAUUCCUGGUGUUUUUUUACCGACCUUGAGAAAGGUCAUGAAACUGGUAAACUUGGAUGUUGGAUGGCCAUCUGGGAAACUGGGAAAACCCAGAAUACAUACAUUUUAAAAUUCUCCAGUAUGUUCUUCCUUGAUUUCCCUUCUCUUUAUUUUUCAUUUCCCUACCUUUUGGUGAAUUUCACUUUUUCCUUUCUGUCUUCUCUCUGCUAGUUAGGAAAAUAGAAAUUAUAUUUCCAUUCUUUUGGUGGUUUUUCAAAAAAGGUGGCUGUGGCCUUGUCCUACUGUGACACUGUCUGUUUCAUCUAGGUCUUCUGAUCCUAGAACCUUAUGUAUGCCUUGACCCCAAGCAACAGUUGGUUGCAGCUUUUCUCAACUUCCUUUCAAGGUGGUAGAGUCUGGGUUCAAGAAGUGACUUAGGUUCUGGUUUCUCUGCUUCACAUGAGAAAAUUAAGCUCUUAGAAGCUGAUGUUGGGCCACCUCUGCCUCCUUCUGGAAACUAAAGAUGUACUUUACUUUCUUUCAUCACUUCAAAUUUCUUUUCUGUUUCUGGCCCAAAUAAAUGCCCCCCUUUCUCUUUCUCUAUCUCUCUCCCCACCCUCUCUCUCUCCCUCUGCCUCUCUUUCUCUGUUUUUAUCUCUCAAGCUGUUCUUGCUAUUUGUUAGUGGCUUUGCUGAAAAUACGAUCUUCUAGUAUCAUCCUUACUGGAAGUCCUUGACUUGUAUUGUAAAAACUAUAAAGAUGUCAUGGUCAUCUGUGACAACAGCCACUCCCAAGGAUGGGCCAAUGAGCCCUGAGGGAACUCAGGAAAGCUUAUCAAAGGAGUGAUUCCAGUAAGCCCAGAACUUUAUGUCUUCCCAUAGAAAUGGUUUUCUGUAAAUCUUCUGUAAAUCUGGCUAUCUGUAAAUCUUUUAUUCCUACUACCUCCCCUUUGUUGCAAAACUCAUGUAUCCUAGCUCCCUCCUCGCCUCCUUGGAGUACUUUCUCAGGGCUACCGGAGAUGCCGUCUCCCAGGCUAAAGUCCCAAUUUCACUCCAAAUAAAACUUAACUCUCAAAAA